UACGUAGGGAGCAAGCGUUGUCCGGAGUCAUUGGGCGUAAAGCGCGCGUAGGCGGCCUCGUAAGUCCGUUGUGAAAGUCAAAGGCUCAACCUUUGAAAGCCGAUGGAUACUGUGAGGCUAGAGUCCGGAAGAGGCGAGUGGAAUUCCUGGUGUAGCGGUGGAAUGCGCAGAUAUCAGGAGGAACACCAAUAGCGAAGGCAGCUCGCUGGGACGGUACUGACGCUAAGGCGCGAAAGCGUGGGGAGCAAACGGG
This 253-nucleotide ribosomal RNA is filed under the name uncultured bacterium. RNAcentral describes it as "partial 16S ribosomal RNA". It matches the Rfam family "Bacterial small subunit ribosomal RNA", at positions 524 to 776 of the family's 1533-position model. The record is from RNAcentral.